UGGGGAAUAUUGGACAAUGGGGGCAACCCUGAUCCAGCCAUGCCGCGUGCGUGAAGAAGGCCUUAGGGUUGUAAAGCGCUUUCAGCGGGGACGAUGAUGACGGUACCCGCAGAAGAAGCCCCGGCUAACUCCGUGCCAGCAGCCGCGGUAAUACGGAGGGGGCUAGCGUUGUUCGGAAUUACUGGGCGUAAAGCGCGCGUAGGCGGACUUUCAAGUCAGGGGUGAAAUCCCGAGGCUCGACCUCGGAACUGCCUUUGAUACUGUAAGUCUUGAGUCCGAGAGAGGUGAGUGGAAUUCCUAGUGUAGAGGUGAAAUUCGUAGAUAUUAGGAAGAACACCAGUGGCGAAGGCGGCUCACUGGCUCGGUACUGACGCUGAGGCGCGAAAGCGUGGGGAGCAAACAGGAUUAGAUACCCGCGUAGUCC
RNAcentral lists this ribosomal RNA (424 nucleotides) under uncultured prokaryote. RNAcentral's name for it is "bacterial SSU rRNA". It matches the Rfam family "Bacterial small subunit ribosomal RNA", at positions 355 to 796 of the family's 1533-position model. The record is from RNAcentral.